Molecule: unclassified non-coding RNA, 200 nt
Filed under: Hevea brasiliensis (rubber tree)
Lineage: Eukaryota; Viridiplantae; Streptophyta; Magnoliopsida; Malpighiales; Euphorbiaceae
Source: RNAcentral
GAGGAACUGCCCACCUGCAAAUACAUCAUGUCCAUCUCUCUCUCUUACACAGACACACACAAAGUCGAAGAAUAGCAACUGGUUUUGAUGUCUUAAGAAAAUCCACCAAAAACUAAAAGAUAGUUAAAAAAGAGAGAUAGGUAUCUCUCUCCCUCUAGCUUUCUUCCAGGGGCGGCUCUGAUAAAAAUUCCUUUAUUUUU